This 481-nucleotide ribosomal RNA is filed under the name uncultured bacterium. Its description in RNAcentral is "partial 16S ribosomal RNA". It matches the Rfam family "Bacterial small subunit ribosomal RNA", at positions 28 to 507 of the family's 1533-position model. The record is from RNAcentral.
GAUGAACGCUGGCGGCGUGCUUAACACAUGCAAGUCGAACGAAGCAUUUAAGACAGUUUACUUCGGUUUGAGGUCUUUUAUGACUGAGUGGCGGACGGUUGAGUAACGCGUGGGUAACCUGCCUCAUACAGGGGGAUAGCAGCUGGAAACGGCUGGUAAUACCGCAUAAGCGCACAGUACCACAUGGUCCAGUGUGAAAAACUCCGGUGGUAUGAGAUGGACCCGCGUCUGAUUUGCUUGUCGGCGGGGUAACGGCCCACCAAGGCGACGAUCAGUAGCCGAGCUGUGAGAGUGGCCGGCCACACUGGGACUGGGCCACGGCCCGGACUCCUACAGGAGGCAGGAGUGGGGAAUAUUGCACAAUGGAGGAAGCUCUGAUGCCGCGACGGCGCGAGAGUGAAUAAGUAGUUAGCGAAGUGAAGCUGGAUAAGCAGGGAAGGUAGUGACGGUACCUGACGAAGAAGCACCGGCUAAAUACGUG